GCGGAAGUAGCUCAGUUGAUAGAGCAUUAGCCUUCCAAGCUGAGGGUCGCGGGUUUGAGCCCCGUCUUCCGCUCUU
This 76-nucleotide transfer RNA is filed under the name Phocaeicola vulgatus PC510. RNAcentral describes it as "tRNA-Gly". It matches the Rfam family "tRNA". Rfam says of the family: Transfer RNA (tRNA) molecules are approximately 80 nucleotides in length. Their secondary structure includes four short double-helical elements and three loops (D, anti-codon, and T loops). Lineage: Bacteria; Pseudomonadati; Bacteroidota; Bacteroidia; Bacteroidales; Bacteroidaceae. The record is from RNAcentral.